AUUGAACGCUGGCGGCAGGCCUAACACAUGCAAGUCGAACGGUAACAGGAAGACGCUUGCUUCUUUGCUGACGAGUGGCGGACGGGUGAGUCAUGUGUGGGAAACUGCUUGAUGGAGGGGGUUAACUACUGGAAACGGUAGCUAAAACCGCAUAACGUUGCAAGACCAAAGAGGGGGACUUUCGGGCCUCUUGCCAUCGACUGCGCCCAGAUGGGGUUAGCUAGUAGGUGGGGGAACGGCUCACCUAGGCGACGAUCCCUAGCUGGUCUGAGAGGAUGACCAGCCACACUGGAACUGAGACGCGGUCCAGACUCCUACGGGAGGCAGCAGUGGGGAAUAUUGCACAAUGGGCGCAAGCCUGAUGCAGCCAUGCCGCGUGUAUGAAGAAGGCCUUCGGGUUGUAAAGUACUUUCAGCGGGGAGGAAGGGAGUAAAGUUAAUCCCUUUGCUCAUUGACGUUACCCACAGAGGAAGCACCGGCUAACUCCGUG
Molecule: ribosomal RNA, 490 nt
Filed under: uncultured bacterium
Lineage: Bacteria
Description: partial 16S ribosomal RNA
Rfam family: Bacterial small subunit ribosomal RNA
Source: RNAcentral